This 1455-nucleotide ribosomal RNA is filed under the name Enterococcus hirae. RNAcentral's name for it is "bacterial SSU rRNA". It matches the Rfam family "Bacterial small subunit ribosomal RNA". Lineage: Bacteria; Bacillati; Bacillota; Bacilli; Lactobacillales; Enterococcaceae. The record is from RNAcentral.
AUGAGACAUGUAGAGAUGUGCGGGUGCGAGCGCUUCUUUUUCCACCGGAGCUUGCUCCACCGGAAAAAGAGGAGUGGCGAACGGGUGAGUAACACGUGGGUAACCUGCCCAUCAGAAGGGGAUAACACUUGGAAACAGGUGCUAAUACCGUAUAACAAUCGAAACCGCAUGGUUUUGAUUUGAAAGGCGCUUUCGGGUGUCGCUGAUGGAUGGACCCGCGGUGCAUUAGCUAGUUGGUGAGGUAACGGCUCACCAAGGCGACGAUGCAUAGCCGACCUGAGAGGGUGAUCGGCCACAUUGGGACUGAGACACGGCCCAAACUCCUACGGGAGGCAGCAGUAGGGAAUCUUCGGCAAUGGACGAAAGUCUGACCGAGCAACGCCGCGUGAGUGAAGAAGGUUUUCGGAUCGUAAAACUCUGUUGUUAGAGAAGAACAAGGAUGAGAGUAACUGUUCAUCCCUUGACGGUAUCUAACCAGAAAGCCACGGCUAACUACGUGCCAGCAGCCGCGGUAAUACGUAGGUGGCAAGCGUUGUCCGGAUUUAUUGGGCGUAAAGCGAGCGCAGGCGGUUUCUUAAGUCUGAUGUGAAAGCCCCCGGCUCAACCGGGGAGGGUCAUUGGAAACUGGGAGACUUGAGUGCAGAAGAGGAGAGUGGAAUUCCAUGUGUAGCGGUGAAAUGCGUAGAUAUAUGGAGGAACACCAGUGGCGAAGGCGGCUCUCUGGUCUGUAACUGACGCUGAGGCUCGAAAGCGUGGGGAGCAAACAGGAUUAGAUACCCUGGUAGUCCACGCCGUAAACGAUGAGUGCUAAGUGUUGGAGGGUUUCCGCCCUUCAGUGCUGCAGCUAACGCAUUAAGCACUCCGCCUGGGGAGUACGACCGCAAGGUUGAAACUCAAAGGAAUUGACGGGGGCCCGCACAAGCGGUGGAGCAUGUGGUUUAAUUCGAAGCAACGCGAAGAACCUUACCAGGUCUUGACAUCCUUUGACCACUCUAGAGAUAGAGCUUCCCCUUCGGGGGCAAAGUGACAGGUGGUGCAUGGUUGUCGUCAGCUCGUGUCGUGAGAUGUUGGGUUAAGUCCCGCAACGAGCGCAACCCUUAUUGUUAGUUGCCAUCAUUUAGUUGGGCACUCUAGCAAGACUGCCGGUGACAAACCGGAGGAAGGUGGGGAUGACGUCAAAUCAUCAUGCCCCUUAUGACCUGGGCUACACACGUGCUACAAUGGGAAGUACAACGAGUCGCAAAGUCGCGAGGCUAAGCUAAUCUCUUAAAGCUUCUCUCAGUUCGGAUUGUAGGCUGCAACUCGCCUACAUGAAGCCGGAAUCGCUAGUAAUCGCGGAUCAGCACGCCGCGGUGAAUACGUUCCCGGGCCUUGUACACACCGCCCGUCACACCACGAGAGUCCGUAACACCCGAAGUCGGUGACGCAAACUCCAACCCGCCCCGAUAGCCUAAC